RNAcentral lists this ribosomal RNA (253 nucleotides) under uncultured bacterium. RNAcentral's name for it is "partial 16S ribosomal RNA". It matches the Rfam family "Bacterial small subunit ribosomal RNA", at positions 524 to 776 of the family's 1533-position model. The record is from RNAcentral.
GACGAACCGUGCAAACGUUGUUCGGAAUCACUGGGCUUAAAGGGCGCGUAGGCGGGUUGCCAAGUCUGUGGUGAAAGCCCCCGGCUUAACCGGGGAAGUGCCGUGGAUACUGGCGAUCUCGAGGAGGGUAGGGGCAUCUCGAACGUUGGGUGGAGCGGUGAAAUGCGUUGAUAUCCAACGGAACUCCGGUGGCGAAGGCGAGGUGCUGGACCCUUUCUGACGCUGAGGCGCGAAAGCCAGGGGAGCAAACGGG